Long non-coding RNA from Haliotis rubra (blacklip abalone), 696 nucleotides. RefSeq lists it as uncharacterized. NCBI's taxonomy places the organism in Eukaryota, Metazoa, Mollusca, Gastropoda, Lepetellida, Haliotidae. The transcript has 2 exons. The record is from RefSeq and is a predicted model, not a curated record.
UGUGCCUUCAUAUACAUUAUAGAAACAAAACAAAGCAGGGGCAAGUUUGUAGCUUGACAUACAGGACAAGUAAUACACACGCGAGAAAGACACAUGACAUAAUGACAUUAGCUAAAAAUAGACAUAUUGUUUAGCAUAGUUUGACAUUUAGAUGAAGAAGAAAAUGUUGUGGAAGCUGUAGCUUGACAUAAAGAUCAGAGCAUACAAUACAUACACUGGAUAGUAGCUUGACAUACGAACAAAGAAGUACAUGCAACGCGUUACUGUUGUCAUACAGAAUAGUAAACAGAGCACACAGGCUAGUAGUUUCAAGUACAGGAUGAGAACAAAACAAUUCAUAGACGGCUUAGUAGCUUCAAGUUCAGGAUAAGAUCAAAACGAUAUACAGUUUAUUUUCUUAACAGAAAAACAAGAAUAAAACGAUGCAUACACUGGUAGUAGGUUGGCAUUCAAGGUAAGAGUAAAACCAUUAACGUUCAAAACAAUAAAGGAUAGGGCACAGCAUACAUGAUUGGCAGAAGCUUAAAGUACAAAAUAAGAAUAAAAUAUAGCGUACAUUGAUUAGCAGCUUAACGUACAAAAACAAAACAGUGCAUACAUUGAUAGUAGAUUGACGUAGAAGAUUACAGGGAUGACAUGCACACACAGGUCACAUGGUUGUCAUACAGGAUAAAAUAAAACACUAAACCAACAAAA